RNAcentral lists this ribosomal RNA (401 nucleotides) under uncultured bacterium. RNAcentral's name for it is "bacterial SSU rRNA". It matches the Rfam family "Bacterial small subunit ribosomal RNA", at positions 28 to 430 of the family's 1533-position model. The record is from RNAcentral.
GACGAACGCUGGCGGCGUGCUUAACACAUGCAAGUCGAGCGGUAAGGCCCUUUCGGGGGUACACGAGCGGCGAACGGGUGAGUAACACGUGGGUGACCUGCCCUCAGCUCUGGGAUAAGCCUGGGAAACCGGGUCUAAUACUGGAUAUGACUCCAUGACGCAUGUUGUGGGGUGGAAAGCCUUGUGCGGCUGAGGAUGGGCCCGCGGCCUAUCAGCUUGUUGGUGGGGUGANGGCCUACCAAGGCGACGACGGGUAGCCGGCCUGAGAGGGCGACCGGCCACACUGGGACUGAGACACGGCCCAGACUCCUACGGGAGGCAGCAGUGGGGAAUCUUGCGCAAUGGGCGAAAGCCUGACGCAGCGACGCCGCGUGAGGGAUGACGGCCUCGGUGUAACGUAC